This 425-nucleotide ribosomal RNA is filed under the name uncultured bacterium. RNAcentral's name for it is "bacterial SSU rRNA". It matches the Rfam family "Bacterial small subunit ribosomal RNA", at positions 340 to 763 of the family's 1533-position model. The record is from RNAcentral.
UACGGGAGGCAGCAGUGAGGAAUAUUGGUCAAUGGGAGAGAUCCUGAACCAGCCAAGCCGCGUGAGGGAAGACGGCCCUAUGGGUUGUAAACCUCUUUUGUCGGAGAACAAAACCCGGGACGUGUCCCGGACUGCGUGUAUCCGAAGAAAAAGCAUCGGCUAACUCCGUGCCAGCAGCCGCGGUAAUACGGAGGAUGCGAGCGUUAUCCGGAUUUAUUGGGUUUAAAGGGUGCGUAGGCGGUCUGUUAAGUCAGCGGUAAAAUUGCGGGGCUCAACCCCGUCGAGCCGUUGAAACUGGCAGACUUGAGUUGGCGAGAAGUACGCGGAAUGCGCGGUGUAGCGGUGAAAUGCAUAGAUAUCGCGCAGAACUCCGAUUGCGAAGGCAGCGUACCGGCGCCAGACUGACGCUGAGGCACGAAAGCGUG